AUUGAACGCUGGCGGCAUGCCUUACACAUGCAAGUCGAACGGCAGCACGGAGCUUGCUCUGGUGGCGAGUGGCGAACGGGUGAGUAAUAUAUCGGAACGUACCCUAGAGUGGGGGAUAACGUAGCGAAAGUUACGCUAAUACCGCAUACGAUCUAAGGAUGAAAGUGGGGGAUCGCAAGACCUCAUGCUCGUGGAGCGGCCGAUAUCUGAUUAGCUAGUUGGUAGGGUAAAAGCCUACCAAGGCAUCGAUCAGUAGCUGGUCUGAGAGGACGACCAGCCACACUGGAACUGAGACACGGUCCAGACUCCUACGGGAGGCAGCAGUGGGGAAUUUUGGACAAUGGGCGAAAGCCUGAUCCAGCAAUGCCGCGUGAGUGAAGAAGGCCUUCGGGUUGUAAAGCUCUUUUGUCAGGGAAGAAACGGUGAGAGCUAAUAUCUCUUGCUAAUGACGGUACCUGAAGAAUAAGCACCGGCUAACUACGUGCCAGCAGCCGCGGUAAUACGUAGGGUGCAAGCGUUAAUCGGAAUUACUGGGCGUAAAGCGUGCGCAGGCGGUUUUGUAAGUCUGAUGUGAAAUCCCCGGGCUCAACCUGGGAAUUGCAUUGGAGACUGCAAGGCUAGAAUCUGGCAGAGGGGGGUAGAAUUCCACGUGUAGCAGUGAAAUGCGUAGAUAUGUGGAGGAACACCGAUGGCGAAGGCAGCCCCCUGGGUCAAGAUUGACGCUCAUGCACGAAAGCGUGGGGAGCAAACAGGAUUAGAUACCCUGGUAGUCCACGCCCUAAACGAUGUCUACUAGUUGUCGGGUCUUAAUUGACUUGGUAACGCAGCUAACGCGUGAAGUAGACCGCCUGGGGAGUACGGUCGCAAGAUUAAAACUCAAAGGAAUUGACGGGGACCCGCACAAGCGGUGGAUGAUGUGGAUUAAUUCGAUGCAACGCGAAAAACCUUACCUACCCUUGACAUGGCUGGAAUCCUUGAGAGAUCAGGGAGUGCUCGAAAGAGAACCAGUACACAGGUGCUGCAUGGCUGUCGUCAGCUCGUGUCGUGAGAUGUUGGGUUAAGUCCCGCAACGAGCGCAACCCUUGUCAUUAGUUGCUACGAAAGGGCACUCUAAUGAGACUGCCGGUGACAAACCGGAGGAAGGUGGGGAUGACGUCAAAUCCUCAUGGCCCUUAUGGGUAGGGCUUCACACGUCAUACAAUGGUACAUACAGAGCGCCGCCAACCCGCGAGGGGGAGCUAAUCGCAGAAAGUGUAUCGUAGUCCGGAUUGUAGUCUGCAACUCGACUGCAUGAAGUUGGAAUCGCUGGUAAUCGCGGAUCAGCAUGUCGCGGUGAAUACGUUCCCGGGUCU
This 1352-nucleotide ribosomal RNA is filed under the name uncultured bacterium. Its description in RNAcentral is "bacterial SSU rRNA". It matches the Rfam family "Bacterial small subunit ribosomal RNA", at positions 28 to 1381 of the family's 1533-position model. The record is from RNAcentral.